UGGGGAUUAUUGGACAAUGGGCGAAAGCCUGAUCCAGCCAUGCCGCGUGUGUGAAGAAGGUCUUCGGAUUGUAAAGCACUUUAAGUGGGGAGGAAGGGCAGUAAGCGAAUACCUUGCUGUUUUGACGUUACCGACAGAAUAAGCACCGGCUAACUCUGUGCCAGCAGCCGCGGUAAUACAGAGGGUGCAAGCGAUAAUCGGCAUUACUGGGCGUAAAGCGCGCGUAGGUGGUUCGUUAAGUUGAAUGUGAAAGCCCCGGGCUCAACCUGGGAACUGCAGCCAAAACUGGCGAGCUAGUGUAGGGCAGAGGGUGGUGGAAUUUCCUGUGUAGCGGUGAAAUGCGUAGUUAUAGGAAGGAACACCAGUGGCGAAGGCGACCACCUGGGCUCAUACUGACACUGAGGUGCGAAAGCGUGGGGAGCAAACAGG
RNAcentral lists this ribosomal RNA (429 nucleotides) under Pseudomonadota bacterium. RNAcentral's name for it is "Proteobacteria bacterium partial 16S ribosomal RNA". It matches the Rfam family "Bacterial small subunit ribosomal RNA", at positions 355 to 776 of the family's 1533-position model. The record is from RNAcentral. Lineage: Bacteria; Pseudomonadati; Pseudomonadota.